This 23-nucleotide small nuclear RNA is filed under the name Arabidopsis thaliana (thale cress). Its description in RNAcentral is "snRNA_14107". The record is from RNAcentral. Lineage: Eukaryota; Viridiplantae; Streptophyta; Magnoliopsida; Brassicales; Brassicaceae.
UAGCUUGUUCAAUAUAUAAUUUU